RNAcentral lists this ribosomal RNA (422 nucleotides) under uncultured bacterium. RNAcentral's name for it is "bacterial SSU rRNA". It matches the Rfam family "Bacterial small subunit ribosomal RNA", at positions 355 to 768 of the family's 1533-position model. The record is from RNAcentral.
UGGGGAAUAUUGCGCAAUGGGCGAAAGCCUGACGCAGCAACGCCGUGUGAGGGAUGAAGGCUUUCGGGUCGUUAACCUCUGUCGGAAGGGAAGAACGGGUGAGGGUCUAAUAGGCCUUCAUUUUGACGGUACCUUUAGAGGAAGCACCGGCUAACUCCGCGCCAGCAGCCGCGGUAAUACGGAGGGUGCAAGCGUUAUUCGGAAUUUUUGGGCGUAAAGCGCACGUAGGCCGCUUUGUAAGUCAGGGGUGAAAUCCCACGGCUCAACCGUGGAACUGCGCUUGAAACUGCGAAGCUUGAAUCCUGGAGAGGGUGGCGGAAUUCCUGGUGUAGGGGUGAAAUCCGUAGAUAUCAGGAGAAGCACCGGUGGCGAAGGCGGCCACCUGGACAGGCAUUGACGCUGGGGUGCGAAAGUGUGGGGAG